AAACCUGCUCUGGACUGAAAACCCAGGCAAACACUGGGAGCUCACCCCUGGGGCCCGCCAGGCCCAGGAUGUGGCAGUUUCUGGUGCAGAAGGGACUGGUAAGAGACUGAGAGAGCUGAGCUAUACCCCACAAAAAGGACUUUCUGAAUUUGCCAUCUCUUCAGAACAGCAAGAGGGGGAAAUUUGAUCCAAAUAACGCAAUGUCCUGAGCUGAGGCUUGAGUCAAGUAUUCUGCCUUAUGCAUUAAGUCCAAGAACCACAGAAGUUAAAGACUUGAGAGACGUCUCCCAGAAAAAUACCGGAAAUUUCAUCCCCUAUAACUGCUAAACUGCAAGAGGAGAAUGGGGAACUGACAGAAUGGCCACAGCAUGACAACUGGGCACCCUUGGACCUCCUUUCCCUUUCUCUUCAGACUCUGCAACAGAGAUGCCGAGGAGACACACCACGGUGAUGGUCCCUAUGAUUCUGAUGUCGUUGGACUCGUC
Molecule: non-coding RNA, 485 nt
Organism: Cyanistes caeruleus (blue tit)
Lineage: Eukaryota; Metazoa; Chordata; Aves; Passeriformes; Paridae
Source: RefSeq, a predicted model, not a curated record